This 868-nucleotide ribosomal RNA is filed under the name uncultured bacterium. Its description in RNAcentral is "bacterial SSU rRNA". It matches the Rfam family "Bacterial small subunit ribosomal RNA", at positions 8 to 871 of the family's 1533-position model. The record is from RNAcentral.
AGAGUUUGAUCCUGGCUCAGGAUGAACGCUGGCGGCGUGCUUAACACAUGCAAGUCGAACGGAGCGCCGGACACGGACUAUUUCGGUAGGAAGCGUGCUGAGGCUUAGUGGCGGACGGGUGAGUAACGCGUGGAUAACCUGCCGCAUACCGGGGGAUAACAGCUGGAAACAGCUGCUAAUACCGCAUAUGCCCGCAGUGCCGCAUGGCACAGCGGGGAAAACUCCGGUGGUAUGCGAUGGGUCCGCGUCUGAUUAGGCAGUUGGCGGGGUAACGGCCCACCAAACCGACGAUCAGUAGCCGGCCUGAGAGGGCGGACGGCCACACUGGGACUGAGACACGGCCCAGACUCCUGCGGGAGGCAGCAGUGGGGAAUAUUGCACAAUGGGGGAAACCCUGAUGCAGCGACGCCGCGUGAAGGAAGAAGUAUCUCGGUAUGUAAACUUCUAUCAGCAGGGAAGAAAACAGACGGUACCUGACUAAGAAGCCCCGGCUAACUACGUGCCAGCAGCCGCGGUAAUACGUAGGGGGCAAGCGUUAUCCGGAUUUACUGGGUGUAAAGGGGGCGCAGACGGCCAUGGCAAGCCCGGUGUGAAAGGCAGGGUCAUAACCCCUGGACUGCACUGGGAACUGUCAGGCUGGAGUGCCGGAGGGGUAAGCGGAAUUCCUGGUGUAGCGGUGAAAUGCGUAGAUAUCAGGAGGAACACCGGCGGCGAAGGCGGCUUACUGGACGGCAACUGACGUUGAGGCCCGAAAGCGUGGGGAGCGAACAGGAUUAGAUACCCUGGUAGUCCACGCCGUAAAACGAUGUAUACCAGGUGUCGGAUAUCAAGGAUAUCCGGUGCCGAAGCAAACGCAUUAAGUAUACCA